AUACACGACUCCAAGGCGGGCUGC
RNAcentral lists this non-coding RNA (24 nucleotides) under Arabidopsis thaliana (thale cress). Lineage: Eukaryota; Viridiplantae; Streptophyta; Magnoliopsida; Brassicales; Brassicaceae. The record is from RNAcentral.